GAGAAGGAAAAAAUACAAAUGAUAUAUAGAUAUAUAUAUAUAUAUGUAUAUAUAAUUAGUUUUAUUUUUAUUUCACUGCGAGUACGACGACGCGUGUAUAAUAGGAUAUGUACACACGUAUAUGUAUUUAUUUGUUACGAUUAUAAUUUAAACACGCGACGAGAUCUCUUGGAGAAAUGUACAUACAAACAAUUCCUAUCGAUUCCGCGAACAAACAACGUCAGACUGUGUUUCCUCGAUGACGCUCCUGUAUGUCUGGUGUUGGUAUUCCGUCAGUAAUGUACAGUAAGUAGUAGUUAGUAUUAUACUAUAGUAAUAUAGUAGCGGUCCUCGUCGUCAAUUGGUGGUGCGUCGGUUGUGUGUGUGUGUGUGUGUGUGUGUGUGUGUGUGUGGUUCACGAAAGAAAAUAAAUGAGAAAGAUAAAAAGAGACACACGGAUAUAAAAAGAAAGAAAACGGGAUGAUGAUAAAAUACGAGAAAUGACGAAUAACAAUUUGGAGGUUAGGAGGAACACGCCGUUGGUUUUUCGUUACUGACUACGACGACGACGACGACGUAAACGAUAAAUACAACGUUCGGCGUUUGAUAAUUACGUUAAUGACAAUAGCGAUAAUAACGACGAUUGCAAAAAAAAGAAAAAACUAACGGAUCUCUAUCCUCGAAAAAGAUAUAUAGAUAAAUAGACAAAGAAAAAGACAGAUAGAUAGAUAGAUAGAUAGAAAUAAAGAAAAGAUAGCGAAACGCGACAACGAGGUGCUGGUGUGGUUUCCUUUUCUCUUUCAGUCCUCGUUGCCGAUCCCACACGACGACGGUGGCGACGUUCGAAGCUCCUUCGUGACUUCGCGCGCGCACGAGACGAGCAGGAGCGUGACGACGACGAAGGUUAGGUGGGGAAGUGGGAAGGAGGUGGUGAACAGGCAACGGAAGAGUAUCAGCACCAGUAGAGCGUAGGAGUUGAUAUACCCCGACGGUGGUCCCGCAUUUUCCACAGCCGAAAUAGAUAUUACGAGCAACGCGGAAGAAGAAGAAGAAGAAGAAGUGGUAAUAGUAAUAGUGUAGUAGUAGAAAUAUAAACUUCUUCAGUCCAACGACGAAAAUGUAAAUUUUUUACCUUUACCGUUGAUAUAUCUGUUUGCAUCAUUUCCCUCGCGUUUCUUCUUCAAGAAGAUGCCGGAAUUCUUUUAACAACAAUACGUGUUCCUGUAUCCUGUUUUUUUUAUAUAUAUAUAUAUUUUUUUUUUAUUUUCUAUUACUAUUAUAAAAUUUGUUUCCAUUCUUGUAUUCCGAUGUUUAUUUCGACUUUUAA
Polistes canadensis is the source of this 1306-nucleotide long non-coding RNA. RefSeq lists it as uncharacterized. The record is from RefSeq and is a predicted model, not a curated record. The transcript is spliced from 2 exons. Lineage: Eukaryota; Metazoa; Arthropoda; Insecta; Hymenoptera; Vespidae.